RNAcentral lists this ribosomal RNA (603 nucleotides) under uncultured bacterium. RNAcentral describes it as "bacterial SSU rRNA". It matches the Rfam family "Bacterial small subunit ribosomal RNA", at positions 917 to 1519 of the family's 1533-position model. The record is from RNAcentral.
GGACCCGCACAAGCGGUGGAGCAUGUGGUUUAAUUCGAAGCAACGCGAAGAACCUUACCAAGUCUUGACAUCGGAAUGACCGUCCCGUAACGGGGACGUUCCCUUCGGGGCAUUCCAGACAGGUGGUGCAUGGUUGUCGUCAGCUCGUGUCGUGAGAUGUUGGGUUAAGUCCCGCAACGAGCGCAACCCUUAUCCUUAGUAGCCAGCAGUUCGGCUGGGCACUCUGGGGAGACUGCCAGGGAUAACCUGGAGGAAGGUGGGGAUGACGUCAAAUCAUCAUGCCCCUUAUGAUUUGGGCUACACACGUGCUACAAUGGCGUAAACAAAGGGAAGCGAAGGAGUGAUCUGGAGCAAAUCUCAAAAAUAACGUCUCAGUUCGGAUUGUAGUCUGCAACUCGACUACAUGAAGCUGGAAUCGCUAGUAAUCGCGGAUCAGAAUGCCGCGGUGAAUACGUUCCCGGGUCUUGUACACACCGCCCGUCACACCAUGGGAGUUGGUAACGCCCGAAGUCAGUGACCCAACCGUAAGGAGGGAGCUGCCGAAGGCGGGACUGAUAACUGGGGUGAAGUCGUAACAAGGUAGCCGUAUCGGAAGGUGCGGCU